This 75-nucleotide transfer RNA is filed under the name Rickettsia peacockii str. Rustic. RNAcentral's name for it is "tRNA-OTHER". Lineage: Bacteria; Pseudomonadati; Pseudomonadota; Alphaproteobacteria; Rickettsiales; Rickettsiaceae. The record is from RNAcentral.
GGGUAAUAUCUAGAAAAAUGAACUGUUACGUUGACAUCGUAAAGGUCAGAGGUUCGAUCCCUCUAUCACUCACCA